GUGACGCACUCUCCUGCUUCUAGGCAGCCGCAGCGCUGGCGCUGAGCUCGGGUCCCCAGGGGCUGCUGGGCCCUGUGCCUCUGGAGGCCCCCGCAAAUGUCACCACCUGCGUCCACAUCACGUUCCAGAGCACAAGCGUGAGGGGCAGCCAGUUAAAGAAGCAAAGCCUCCCGGAGGAAAUGUGCUCUAGACUUCGCCACCAGCCAGCCCGAGGGCAGAUCUCAGCUCCGCGUGGACUGGCUGCACCUGGCUGCACCUGACGUGGUGCCCCCAUGCCUGGAGGUCUCCACGCAGACAGCCCUGCUUUGUGGUCACCGGAGAAGAAACCCGGAGGGCGAGAAGAUGUUGUCACCCUGCAGCAUGGCAGAGACUGGGACCUGGUGAUCUCACUGCUUUUUUUUGUAGCUUUUUCUUGUCUUCUCCCGGGAAGGUUACUGACUCCUGACCCCUUUGCUGAGCUUUGGGAUCUACAAAUACAGACUACGUGAGGGUCUCGGUGCCCUUGAACUUGUGAUCCUCCUGCCUCAACUUCCCAAGUAGCUGGGAUUACAGGAGGGCAUUGUCACACCCACGGGGCUGGACAGGGUGACUCUUGACUGUGGGGCAUCUCCCAGUGCAGUGUGGGAUCUUCAGCACCAUCGUUUGACUCUACUCACUAGAUGGCAUCACCCUACCCCAAGCCACUUGUGACAACCAAAAUUGUCCCCAGGACUGUCAGAUAUCUGUGACAGGAAGUGUGGGGCAGAAUUGCUGUUGGUUGAGGAGCGGUGACUUGUGUGCAUUUAUACCAUUAAAUGGUAUUCCUCAGAACCUCCGGCUGCCAGCUGAGAAAGGGAGAAUACUCAGUGUGUGCCAGAAACAUCUCAGAAUCACUCCACAGAAGGCUCUUCUGCCAGGUCAGGUUGAGUGUGUGUGUGUGUGUGUGUGUGUGUGUGUGUGUGU
Long non-coding RNA from Fukomys damarensis (Damara mole-rat), 942 nucleotides. RefSeq lists it as uncharacterized. The transcript is spliced from 3 exons. The record is from RefSeq and is a predicted model, not a curated record. Lineage: Eukaryota; Metazoa; Chordata; Mammalia; Rodentia; Bathyergidae.